RNAcentral lists this long non-coding RNA (753 nucleotides) under Homo sapiens (human). Its description in RNAcentral is "HSALNT0250248". Lineage: Eukaryota; Metazoa; Chordata; Mammalia; Primates; Hominidae. The record is from RNAcentral.
GUGGAACUUGGGAUUCGAACGGCAGGCGGGAAGUGCUCUAGCAGGGGAGUCUGACCUUGUGAGGGAAUACCUGUGUCCCCCCUUUUUUCCCCUUUUUACCCAAUAAAACCCUGCCUUACUCACCCUUUAAAUCAUCUGCGAGCCUGAAUUUUCAUGGCCGUGGGACGGACAAGAACUUUAUCUUCAGCUGAACUAAGAAAAAGUCCUGCAACAUUUUUGGCGCGCAAUGUGGGGGCACCAGAAGCGGGCACCGUUGAGCUGUUGCAACUGUUCUGCUGGAGCCUUAUGUAUGUGGUUGAAACCACCUGUACUACUGGAAUGAAAGCACCUUUACAGAAGAGGCAAUGCAAGUUGUAUUCAUCACAUGUGUAGAAUGAAUUAAGAUUUAUGCCAGUUGCAAAGAAGAAUAUUGGCUCACUAUUUUUCCUCUGGGCAUGUGGAAAUGUAAAUCAGUCCAUGUUACUCACCUCGGAGAAGCAGAAGUACGAUUUACUAUUGUUGCUUGCUUACUUACUCUUAUCAAUUUCUAUGAGAGGGUUUGGAGAAAAAUAACUUCCCACAGUGACAUUGCUGAAGUGUCUAUGGGGCUCUGUUUCCAUCACUGCCAAUAAAGACAGUAGGCACUUUAAAAGCAAACAUUUCUCAUUCUCUAGUUGCCUUGGAAAUGAUGGCCGUGACUAUCUGAAGACUGAAGUGAUUGCACCAAGAAGUCAUAAUAGGCAGAUUUCCCUCAAUCAGUGCACCGCCUUCCAU